CAUGACUAACAUGCAACCACUUUAAACCACAUCUAGGCUUUGUGGCUACUAAAACACACGAUAGAAGAGAGAGACAUGUAAGCCAUUCUGGCUAUGUAAAGACUUCCCCCAAAAAUCCAUAUAAAAGUACCAAUAUUCAUUUCUUUGAGAACUGGUUUCUCAAUAUAAAAAAUCAUUCUUUGCAAAGAUAGUUGGAGCUAUCCACCAACCGCUCAACAACUUAAAUUCAAAUUGAUGAUUACCUUGUACCCCAAAACACGCAAUUCACACUCCUCUUAGAAACAUCCUCAAUAAGGCAUAUAUAACAAUAUUAUUGUAAUAAAACUCAACCAUGAAAAACAUGGUGAAAACAAGAUAGGCAUACUUGUAUAUCACAAGCAUAAUAACAACUUCAUUCUCACAAAUGACCAGCGAUAUCUACAGCAUUAAACAAACAAUAUUAAAAUUUCAGAAAUAAAUUAUAUCAAGCAUUAAGCCAUAAACAACUUACCACAUCACCGUAAAGGAAUAGGGAGGGGUGAGGUUAUUGUCAUCUGCACUUCAAAGACACUAACAUAUAUCAAAGAUAUUUAAACCCAUACCCUUCCUAUAUGUGCGAGUGUGUCAAAUUUAUCUUCAAAUUUCCAAGAAUCUAAAGCCUAUGCUCUGAUACCAACUGUAACACCCCGGGAUCCUCAAACACCCAGAAUGCUACUAAACUACACAUCUAACAUUCAUAUAUAAAAUUUCGACAGCAUCCCCUUUGAAAAUUACAUAAACGGGGAAGCAACAAAAUAUAAAUAGAUAUCAUGAUAUGAGAACAUAAUAGACAUUAAUAAUCUGCUAGCAAUGGAAAGACAAACAUAACGGCAUGAACUAAAUCAACCAGUGCGCACAACUAGUUACAAACAACAUCCUUUGACAAGAAGUUUCUAAUUAAAUCAUGACUGCGCCUAAGCAGCGUUAUUAUGAGAGUGAAGGUGGAUGUGCUGCUACUUCCCACUUCCCUUGAUGAGCAACAAGCACCUGCAUUGAGUAAUGCAAGAGUGAGAUGAAACAUCUCAGCAAGCGAAUUGUUUUGACAAGAUAUUUAAACCACAAAUUGAAUUAAUCAACAUUUUAAAAGAAUCACAAUUAAGAUAAGAAAUUCCUGUAGAUAUAGAACUCAGUAGUCUCAAUAUAACCAAUACCAUCUCAUUUCCUUAAACAACCACAAUAGUUUGUAUAACACUUCCCUGCGUCAACAAUACCUGCAAAUAUCACUUCAAUGUAUGCAUAGGAACACAAAGUGUAGGUACUCUGUCUUCAUACCUCUGAGGGUAUAAAACCACAUCAUAUGCAAAUAUCACUUCAAUGAAUGCAUAUGAAUGCAAUGCAUAUGUCCUCUGCCUUCAUACCUCUAAGGGUAUGAAGCCGCAUCGUACCCCUCCUCGGGCAACGUACGAUGCUAAGUUGUACCGGUACGGUCGGACCAUAGGUCACGACCCAACUUCAGAUGCAAGUGAAUCAUGCAAUGUAUAUGGCAUGCUUCAUUUAUCAAUAUACUUCACUUCCUUCACAUACAAUACAACCUCAAAUAAUACUUCAUUUACCUUCAGAUACAAUACCAACCUCAAAUAAUACUUCAUUUACCUUCAGAUACAAUACCAACCUCAAAUAAUACUUCAUUUACCUUCAGGGGUGUGAAUUAAUCUCAUGAGUCAUACUCGAAUCAUAAUCAUCAUCAAUAUAUGAUUGAGCAUCAAUAUAAUGCAAGCAAGUAAAGCAUCACCAUAGAGUCCAAUUAUGAAAGAAUCCAAUACUUCUGAAUAUUAGAGUGUAGGCAAUAGAAAUAACAGGUCAGAACGGAAGCAACCACCGCUACAUUCACUUGCCUUCAUCGAAGAAGAAAAAUGUACUAGGCAUGAUCUGGAGUGUAGCCACCUGCUAGCGGGCAUAAAACUUAGUACAAAUAUUUCACAAACAUUUGCCAACAAUCAACAAAUCGAUCCUACACCUGAAACCAAGACCUGGUGGAAAACCUCCCACUCUGAACCACAUGCCAUACAACAGCAAUGUUGUUUGUUAAUUUUGUAUCUUUAGAAUUAUAACAGUGGUGAUAUCAAACAAAUACUCCAUGAGUAUCUACAAAAAAUAUUCUACAACUUCGGUAUUCGAUGGAUAAUAAAAUUAUGCCAUCUAUAAGUUCUAAAACAUCUAACAAGAUAACUGACUGAAUCUGUUUUAGACAGCAGCAUAGUUAACUUUCAAAAUUCGAUAUCUCACAAACUACUCAACCAAAAAUCAUGAAAUUCUGCUGAAAGUAAGAAUUUUUAUCCCUCUACAAAAGUCUCCAUAGCUGGGAGAGCCAAUUCGGCCAUUUACUUGAUGAAACCUACCAGUGAACAGACCCGCUCAUUUCUGUCAGGCUAACAGAAACAGCCACAGUAAAACAAACAUAACUGAAGUUUCAUAAUUCAUAUGAAUGCACUCUUUAACAAUCUGGAAAGCUUAUAAAAUUAUCUACAUCUUUUCUUACAAACCCAAGGUUUAAUUCUGUUGAUAAAAUUACCUAAAUCUUAAGAGAACAGAUUCUGCACAGAAUUAAGAGACUGAAAAACUGCUAUAAUCAAACUGCAAUAACUCUCUGAUCUGAUGUCCGAUUGAGGUGUUCUUCGCGGCCACGGAAAGAUCUACAAAUUAUCUACGACUUAUAUAUAGACUUUUUAUUUUUUUGAGGCCCCUAAGACCACGGAAAACUGGGAUUAACAGAAACUGUCGAAUCUGCCAUUCUGCAGAAAACUAAAUUCGAGAUCAAAACAUAACCCCACAUCUAAUCCAACCUCUAAUCCUUUAAUUCCCAUGAUCCACAACCUCCAAAAGCACAUAAUUACAGGGAGGAACAAGGAUCUCAUCCAUACCUAGGGUUUCCCCAAGAAAUUUUGCAAGAGAGAUGGGGAAGAACAUCUCCUUGAUCCUCUCUUCCCCUUCAACUCAAUAUUUGUGCUCCUCCUCUUCUCGAUCCUUGCUGCGCGGGGGGAGAUCUAGAGGGAGGAGGAAGUCGUGGAGAGGGGCUGCCAUGGGAGGAGAGGACAGCCAGCCCAAGGGAAAAGAAGAGAGGGGCGGCCAAGUGUGGGAGGGGGGGAAAGGGGUGGCGGCCAAGUAGGGGCAAAAGGGG
RNAcentral lists this long non-coding RNA (3136 nucleotides) under Zea mays. Its description in RNAcentral is "long non-coding RNA (ZMAY_LNC002241)". The record is from RNAcentral. Lineage: Eukaryota; Viridiplantae; Streptophyta; Magnoliopsida; Poales; Poaceae.